RNAcentral lists this long non-coding RNA (875 nucleotides) under Ananas comosus (pineapple). Its description in RNAcentral is "long non-coding RNA (ACOM_LNC031519)". Lineage: Eukaryota; Viridiplantae; Streptophyta; Magnoliopsida; Poales; Bromeliaceae. The record is from RNAcentral.
GGAUUGCUUGCUCUUUGUAUCGUUGGCACUGUUCGUGCCCUUGUGAAUGUGUAUGAUUAGAAUUUAAAUUCCUAGGUAAAUUCUUGUACACAUUCUUGUUGUGAGCCUUGGGCGGACAGGGGAGGUGCUGUCCGUUCGGCGGUCCGCUCGGCGCACCCGAAUCGUGCCAAAUUGGUAGUGGUUUCGGGCCGGGGCGUGACAGCUGUUUUGGUAUCAGAGCCUAAGAGCAAGUAAAGAGAGAAAGUCUAGGAUGACCUAGGAGACCCUAGGUUGGUAAGCCUUAAGGUUGUAGGUGCGUGAGCGGAACGUGAACCUAUAACGAUGGCGGAAGUUGAUUCGAUUGGGUCGAAGUUUGUAAUAUGUCUCUAGUUGUGGUUAGAGACGGAUUCAAGUGGUAUGCGUUCUUGUCUUGAGGUGGUUGUGUUGGCGGCCGACGACAUGAUACCAAGAGUCUAGAAUGAGUACACUUGUGUGCUUCCGCCCGAUUUUGUUGUUGAGUCGUCAUGUGUCGUGAUUUUCGACGAGGUGAAUAGUUAAGACGACUGACCAAGUAUUUGCGUUUCAGGAACUAAUGUCUCCAAGACGCUACACACGUAGAUCUACUCUGGCACCGACUCCUGAGGUGCCCGAGCCGGACGAACCGAGUGUGAUGGAUCGGUUGCAGGCGCAAGUGGCCGCAUUGACCAAUGUGGUGCAGCGCCAGGAGAACCGAUUCGAGUGGCUCCAGGAGCUCUUGGAGCGGCAGGCGGCGGCAGCGGCCGCAACGGCGACGGACGGACGCGAUGUGCCCGCGCCCUCGGCUCGUGUACCUGAGCCAGCUGAGGGUGAGGGUAUAGCGGCGGUUUCGGUGGCGGCGCGUCCCCCGCCGGCGAUCG